Haliotis rubra (blacklip abalone) is the source of this 113-nucleotide long non-coding RNA. RefSeq lists it as uncharacterized. The transcript is spliced from 3 exons. NCBI's taxonomy places the organism in Eukaryota, Metazoa, Mollusca, Gastropoda, Lepetellida, Haliotidae. The record is from RefSeq and is a predicted model, not a curated record.
AGUAUACAAGACUGAAUAUCCUGAAGAUUUUUAUUUAAUUUUUGUAAGGCCAGACCAAUUGUAUUUCUUGUCUUACGGAUUCUUGUCCUCAGAAAACAUAAAGGCAGGAGGGG